This 1518-nucleotide ribosomal RNA is filed under the name gut metagenome. RNAcentral's name for it is "bacterial LSU rRNA". It matches the Rfam family "Bacterial large subunit ribosomal RNA", at positions 497 to 2025 of the family's 2925-position model. The record is from RNAcentral.
AGUACCGUGAGGGAAAGGUGAAAAGAACCCCGAACAGGGGAGUGAAAUAGAACCUGAAACCAUACGCUUACAACCGGUCGGAGCAGCUUCGUGCUGUGACGGCGUGCCUAUUGAAUAAUGAGCCUACGAGUUACUAAUCACUGGCGAGGUUAAGUGCACGGAUGCACGGAGCCGAAGCGAAAGCGAGUCUGAACAGGGCGGCUAGUCAGUGGUUGUAGACGCGAAACCUUGCGAUCUACCCUUGAGCAGGUUGAAGGUUGGGUAAAACCAACUGGAGGACCGAACGAAUAAGCGUUGAAAAGCUUCUCGAUGACUUGAGGGUAGGGGUGAAAGGCUAAUCAAGCUGGGAAAUAGCUCGUACUCCCCGAAAUGCCUUUAGGGGCAGCGUUGUAAUUAAGAGUCUACUGGAGGUAGAGCUACUGAUUGGAUGCGGGGGCUUCACCGCCUACCAAAUCCUGACAAACUCCGAAUGCCAGUAGUAUGAUUUACAGCAGUGAGCGACCGGGUGCUAAUGUCCGGUUACGAGAGUGGAACAACACAGACCAGCAACUAAGGUCCCGAAGAGUAUACUAAGUUGAUCUAACGAUGUUUUGCUGCAGAGACAGCUAGGAUGUUAGCUUGGAAGCAGCUAUUCAUUCAAAGAGUGCGUAACAGCUCACUAGUCGAGCGGCAAAGCGUGGAUAAUAAACGGGCAUCAAGUAUACCACCGAAGUUCUGGGCACGAGAGUGCGGUAGGGGAGCAUUCCAUUGACGUCGAAGCCAUUCCGCGAGGAUAGGUGGAGUUUAUGGAAAAGCAAAUGUAGGCAUGAGUAACGAUAAUGCGGGAGAGUAACCCGCACACCGCAAGACCAAGGUUUCCUGAUCAACGCUAAUCGGAUCAGGGUUAGUCGGGUCCUAAGGGUAAGCCGAACGGUGAUCUCGAUGGACAAUCGGUUAAUAUUCCGAUACUAACAUAUACCUCGAUGGAGAGACGAAGGAACGUAAGUGACGCCGCCUGACGGAAUAGGUGGUUAAAGGGCGUAGGUAUAGGGACAGAUUAAGAGUUAGUCCUUGCUGAAACCCGACAGUACGGAGCGGCUACGGCCAAUCUGAUAGUUCACCCAAGUCGACUUCCGAGAAAAUCUUCUAAGUUAUAGUAUAUGUUACCCGUACCGUAAACCGACACAGGUGGUCGAGGAGAGUAUCCUAAGGUGCUCGAGUGAAUCACGGUUAAGGAACUAGGCAAAUUAACCCCGUAACUUCGGGAAAAGGGGUCCCUACGCGAGUAGGGCGCAGCGAAGAGGUCCAGGCGACUGUUUAUCAAAAACACAGGGCUCUGCAAAUUCGAAAGAAGACGUAUAGGGCCUGACACCUGCCCGGUGCUGGAAGGUUAAGAGGGGAUGUCAUCGCAAGAGAAGCAUUGAAUCGAAGCCCCAGUAAACGGCGGCCGUAACUAUAACGGUCCUAAGGUAGCGAAAUUCCUUGUCGGGUAAGUUCCGACCUGCACGAAUGGUGUAACGAUCUGGACACUGUCUCAAC